Molecule: long non-coding RNA, 35963 nt
Filed under: Malus domestica (apple)
Lineage: Eukaryota; Viridiplantae; Streptophyta; Magnoliopsida; Rosales; Rosaceae
Description: long non-coding RNA (MDOM_LNC008886)
Source: RNAcentral
AAUGGUGCCUUCACAAGUGACCUCUCUUGUGGUCACUCUCCUAGUGGCAAUAGUCUCUCUCACAUUGCCUUCAGAAACUUCAGCUAACUACCCUUACACCUCUCCACCACCACCGGCCUCUCCUCCCUACCAUUACAAGUCACCACCGCCUCCUUCUCCUUCUCCUCCAGUGCACUACUCACCACCUAAGCAUCCCUACCACCCUAAGUCACCACCACCUCCUGUGUACGCACCACCUAAGCAUCCCUACCACCCUAAGUCACCACCACCUCCUGUGUACCCACCACCUAAGCAUCCCUACCACCCCAAGUCACCACCACCAUCACCAAAGCCUUACCACUACAAAUCCCCACCACCACCUCCUGCUCCAGUGCACUCACCACCCCCACCUAAGGAGCCAUACCACUACAAGUCCCCACCACCACCACCCAAGAAGCCCUACCACUACAAAUCUCCCCCACCACCUCCUCCUCCAGUUCACUCACCACCACCACCCAAGGAGCCUUACCACUACAAAUCUCCACCACCACCACCCAAGAAACCUUACUAUUACAAGUCUCCUCCACCACCACCAAAGAAGCCUUACCACUACAUGUCUCCUCCCCCACCGGUGUACUCACCACCUCCACCAGUGCACUCACACCCACCACCAAAAAAGCCUUACCAUUACAAAUCUCCUCCCCCGCCAGAAUAUUCACCAGCUCCACCAGUGCACUCAACCCCACCACCAAAGAAGCCCUACCAUUACAAAUCCCCACCACCACCACCACCACACAAGAAGCCUUAUUACCCUGUUCACUCACCACCUCCACCUAAGAAGCCUUACCACUACAAAUCCCCACCACCACCUUCUCCUACUCCUCCUAAAUACUCACCACCUAAGCACCCCUACCACUACAAGUCUCCACCACCACCACCAAAGAAGCCUUACCAUUACAAGUCCCCACCACCUCCUUCUCCUACUCCCCCUAAAUACUCACCACCUAAGCACCCCUACCACUACAAGUCACCACCACCACCACCCCAAGAAGCCUUACCACUACAAGUCUCCACCACCACCACCUCCUCCAGUUCCCACACCAUCUCCACCCAAGAAACCUUACCACUACAAGUCUCCCCCACCACCCCCUCCAGUCUACAAGUCUCCUCCACCACCAGUUUACUCACCACCACCACCACCUAAGAAACCUUACAAGCCACCAACUCCUCCAGCAGUUCACCCACCACACGGUUACAUCUAUUCCUCACCCCCACCUCCUCACCACUACUAGAUAUUGAAAGUUUAAUUGCAUCAAGCUGGUAAGCUUCUCCAUUCUAUGCUAUUAUUCAUUAAUUAGUUAGUACUACUGUUGUCAAUUUGGAAAUCACCAUACAACCAAAUGCACACUCUGACGAAAUAACAUAUAAAUUCUAAUUGAAUAGUCUUUAUUUCCAUUUUUGGCUAAUAAUCCUUAUUAGCAUAUGGAUAAUGUAUUUCCAACAUAUCGUUAUUAACUUAUUACUCAAUUAAUAUUUCUUUUUCUUUAAAUUCAGUAGCCGUGUGUAACAAAUAGACCAAUGGCAGAGACCCAACAAAUAACAAUAAUAUGUCUUUGCAGGUAAGGGAAGAAGAAAGGUCAGAAUAAAGAGGGGCUGUUGAAGUCGAACAGCGCGCCUUAUUACCACACAAAGAAGAAGAGAGAGAAAAAAACGAGUCUCCACGCAGCUGCUGAUGUGACGUGUUUUAUGUAUGCGAUAUUCGAUAGAGGUUCAUAUUUUCCUUGGAAUAUUAGACAGUUGUAGGGCACUCAUGUUCCAUGUAUUUUAUUUCCUGUUUCUCAAAAGAGAUGGUAUAUGUAUGUUGUUUGUUUCAACCUUCUAAUGGAGAGGUGAUCAUCAUAAUAAUAAAAUAAAUACAUUCCCCAAAUUUUACUUAAUUUCUCAUAUAUCUGAUAUGUUUUACUCUCUUAAUUAAAGUUUCCUAAUAAUGUUAUAAAAACCACGUAUAUCACAUUGGUGUACCAUUUAUUCUCACAAGUAAUGUCACGUCAAUUAAUGAGUUUAUCUCAUUGAAUAGUAAUUGACUUGCUUACAUUAUAUGGUAAUAAUGUGGUGUAAAUAUGUCGCAUCGUCCUUAACAUCACUCUAAAUUUCUUGGUAAUAAUAUAUGCGAGCAGUGUUAACAAAUCAAAGGAUGAGAAAGAAGAAAAACUAUUUGCAAAUUCUUAUUCUUAAUAUUUCAUAAACACAAAAUAAAGAAGACUAUGAAUUGUUCAAAUGCAUACUAAGUGAUCUAUUUUGGCAAAUCAUCUUAGUAUUGUAUUAUUUUCUUCAAUUAAGUGAUCUAUUUUUUUUCAAUUUGUUUUCCAUAUUUCAUGGCUUAAAUUUGUGAUUACUUUUUCAACAUAAAUGUCAAAUACUUUUUCUAAAAGUUAAUGUUGUCUAUUAUUUAUCCGUUGCUGGGAAAAAAAGUUAAAGUGGUAAUCUUAUUGAUAAAACUUAGUUCACUACACUAUAUAUACAAUUGUCUUCCGGUAGACCAUCAUGGAUAAAAAAUCAAAAGGAUUAUCGAAACCCCAAAAAAUUCUCACUAGUAGAAAGAUUGUUCAAAUUCUACAAUGAACCACAAGAAGUCUAACUCACUUGGUCAUUGCUGAUUGACUAUCAUUACUAGGUUAAAGCAACAUUUUAAGUUUUAACCUAAAUAGGAUCUCAACAAGCUAGGGUUUGAGAUUAGUGUUUUAGGUGACGACAGAGCUCUUUCCUUUCUUUAUGUUAUCCAAACUCUUUUUCUUUUUUCAUUUUUAUCAAGAAACUGUAGGUCUCAAUCAAAUUUAUGGAUUAUGGAUUUUAGUUAUGUAUUCUUAGUGUGGAAAUUUGACUAUAAAAUACGUUGACACUUGUCCUUUAAACUAAUGCAACCGAACAAACUUGUAGUUAACAAUUUUAUUAAGAGAGAUUAUAUUCACACACUUCAAAUUACUUAUGUCACACCUUUCUAAUUUUUUAAUAUUUUCUACACACCACUAACACUUGAAAGAAAAAAUAUUAAAAAAAUUAAAAGAGUGUGGGGCAAGUAAUUUGGGGUGUGUGAAUAUAAUCUCUCUUUCAUUAAAUCAUAACAUGGUGGAGUGAGUAAGUGAUGAGGAAAGACAAUUACGUCGCUCAUAUGCAAAUGAGUGGACAAACCUUCCAAUGGAUGCAACGGUGGUCAUGAAUUAUGAUUGUGUGUAGGGUUUCGAGUUACCGACGUUGACUGUCAUGCAAAUUGAGUACGUAGCCACUUACACUUAAUGGCAGAGGUCGAUGAUUUGCGCUACGGAAAAUGGUUUGAUUUGCUUAUACCAAUUACCAAACAAAGCAAAUAUAUUCGUCCUUUUGGUUUGGUUGUCAACUGUCAAGUAUGCGUUAGAAUUUUUUAAUUUGGGUUAAAUAAAAUAAAAAAACAAUACUCAAAACUUUUUGGGGAUGAGAUCUGAGAAAUUUAAUUUUUUCCCUUCAUAUAUUAGGGAUGAAAGUUGACUUAAUCACACACAAUGGAUCAUACCAACAAUAAUUUAGUAUCGAAUUCAUCAUUCAUGAAAAUCAUAUUUGAGCCUAAAUAAAAAUAAGCAUGUUAUGGGGUCAAUCUACUUUUAUUUACAGAAAGUUGCACGACUCAGGCCCACCAACUUCAAAGCCUAAUUCAAGAUCAUAUCACAAAGCUUGGGCGACCUUUUUGUCCCCCUCCUAGCUAUUCGAGGGCUUGGGUAGAUCUCUCUAUGAAGUGCGUCCACCACGCAGAUGACCAGACCCGGGAAUAUCUCGCCUCCUUAAAUGUUGAUGUACGCAUCAUCUAACAUGCUAAUGUCACCAUUGCAAUUAUGAAAACGGCCAUGAAAUACAGUUUAAGGCCACCAACCAGAAAUUAUAGUCAAUGUCAACUCACCGAUCUACCCAUGCUCCAUCUUAGCCAUGAGAUCGAGGUUGCUCUUGCUUCAUUGCCUAUAAAUAGAGUGGGAAACCUUCAAACUUAGGACCUUCGUCUGAUCCAAUCUCUACAAUUAUAUAAAACCUCGAUUGAUUCUUCAAUCAACCCAACUUCUUUCAAAGUACAAUCCAAUUGCUCUUCAACUACAAUCACAAAGCCUUCGUUAAAAGCAAACAUUGCCUAUGUCCCUGAGAUCUUAAACUUUUACAGCUUUUCCAACCCGUGGUAUGAUUCGGUUGAUGUGUCAAUCCAACCACCCUGAUUUCCUCUUAGAGGCACAUGUUUUGGACUAAGUCCAAUUUGAUACCAGAGACCUCAGUGGACUCCUCUAGCAUUAUCUAUCCCUUCAUGGCCUAAAUCUUGUAAGAGUUUUUACAGCUUUCUUUACAAUUUUACUCAAUUUUCAUUUCAAGUCAUGUAGCUCGGCCCAUCGGCCAAGAUUUUACUUUUAUAUAAUGCUUGUAAUGUUGACUUCAUUAUGAAAUAAUUACAUUUUGUUCAUCACAUUAUUUUCCAUUUUCCUUUUUCAUGUUUUAGGCAAAAACACAAAAAAGUUACAUUGAAUUUUAAGUCCUCAUUCACUCAAGGCAUAGAAAAAAACUUAAACGAACUAGCGUCUCAUUCAAUGCACAACAAUUGGUUAAGAAGUCAGAUCUUUGCGCAACUUUCACACACAUCCAAAUACAAAGAUUGUCUGUUGACAGCCUCCAACAAUAGCACACCCAUUCUCUCAUUUUCUCGAGCCACCUCGUGACAUUGAUAUAAAAAAUAACACUCGGGGAAAAUAAAAGUUACAGUAGUAGUGAAAGAAAUUUAGUUGUUGUAAUAACUGAAUUUUGAAGGGCAUAUUAAGUAAUAAAAAUUAUGAGCAGAUAGUAUUUGCCCCAUUUGGCCUAGUGUCGACCAAAAAUGUACCUUCACCUAGAAAAGGAUUGUAGAAAGUGAAGUUAGUUCAAUAAUUGUCCUCUUUUUUGUUUUCUUUUUCGAUAUUUUAAGUGCUAUAUUGAGACUUUGGGGGCUUUUUUUUCCCAAAGCUCUGGCCUAUUCCGCGAAGAACUGAGAUUGAAUGGAGACUUUAUCAUUCUCACUAAUAUUAUAAGAAAAAUUGCACAAUACCAUUGUAUUAUUAAUUUGAGACAAUGGUAUUAAUUAUAGACAUUACAAUAGUGUCAAGAAUAAUGCAAAUAACUCAUUCUCCUUUGUUUAUUAGGUCGAAUUUCACUAGCUACAAAUAAGUUUAGCGGGGUGUAAGGAUGGAGACUUUAUCAUUCUCACUUAUAAAUCAUCAUAUAUUUAGGUGUGGGGUAAGGGGUUGGGGUAGAUUAGGUCCCAGGUUCGAGGCCUGGUGGGGUGGGGUGGGGUUGAAAAAAAAAAUCAUAUAUUUAGGUGUGGGUUUGGAAGGUAGACUUGAUUCCGCGGUGUUUUGAGGAGGAGGAGGGCAAUCUUAUUCUUGGUUUACCAAUAAGUUUAGCAGGGUGUAAGGAUAGAGUCAUAUGGCACUAUUCAAGAAAAGUUGCAAAACCACUAAAACUUUAUUUUAAGAGUCAAAUCUACUAAAUUCUUCUCCAAGAGACUUGAUAAAGGACUCUAUAUAAUAGCAAGUUGCUCUUUAAAUUUAUAAGUAAUGCCUAAUGGGGCUUUUAAGAAAAUAUUAAUAUUUAAAAAAAAAGUAUUAAUUUUUGUUUUAGACAUUGUAUAAGGAAAAUGAUAAGCAUACAUCCUUUUUAGCCUCGAUCAACACUUAUAUUUAAUCUUGUUCAUUAUUUUUGUUUGAUUUAUACAAUGCGAUGGUCAAAAAAAUAAAUAAAAAAUAUGUUUGAGAAGUUAAAAAUGAUGUGUGAAAAUCACCUGCCAAUAAACAAAUCUAUUAUUAAAACUAAUACAAACUUUAAAACUAAAACUCAUGAUCAAUUAAGAAACGCUCAAGUCAAAUUCAUAAUAGCCAUAAAACAUAAAACACCUAAAUUUACUAUGCCAAUUCAAUCAACAAUCGUAUUAUAAAUAUGUUAAAUCCUUACAUGAAUGGAAUUGUUAGCCCAUCAAUCCAAGUAAUUGAAUGAUCUUUGGAGAUUUACUUAAGAGCAGUAUUAAUAUGAAUUAUGAACUUAUGAGAGAGAAAUAAUCUAUUAUUCUUUUCUCUAUUAGGCUAUAUUAUAUUUAUUUUGUUAUUGAAGAAAUUAUAUAUUGUAUAAUAUUUCCAUGGGGUGCAAAAACAUCGGGGCGCCUUUUUUUAGUUGGGGACCUUGUGCAAUGUCUUAUAUUCCUCCCCUUCAAUCCGGCACUGACAGGAAGGGAGAGAACGAUUUAAAAAAUGAACGGGUUGAAUUUGAAUUGAUAAUAAUUAGUAAAUUAUUUAAACUUUGUUAAAUAGAAAAUAUUGUUGAAAAUGAAAAGUUAAACUGAGUAAUUAAAAUAGUUUUUUUGACACUUUUCACUUGCUUGUUUAACAAAAAUUUAGAGCUUGUCUUUGAGAUACUCUUACUCCUUUAUUUAAAGGACUCGGCUUUUCUAUUAUAGCUGUCGUAUUCAAUAUUGUUGCAAUUAAUGAACUUAAAUCAUUUCGUUAUGACCAAAUUAAGAUAAUCAUGGACAUGUAGAUUAGGUAGCUAAUUCUGAUUUUGACUCGAUCACAUCAAGGUUAUCGUAAUUAAUGUCGGUUAAUUUAAUAUGCGUCUCUGAUCUGAUUACAUUACCAUGGUACGUAAACAUGUGUAUCCAUCUGCAAGACUCAAGAUUUAUAAUUUUGUUUUGUUUACUGUUUUUACGAAGAUAUUUAUGAUUUGAUUUUAUAAUAAAUUUUUUUUUAAAAAAAAAAUCAGAGCAAAACUGCAUCAUGGCCAACAAUCCAGCCAGAUUCAGUUCAACUAUAAUUUUGGCCAAUUUUUCAAAGCUGAUGGAUGUUAGUAGAUUUGUGUGGGGAACACUGAAAAGGCUAGAUUAUGAAAUACCAGAAAAGUAUUGACAUUUCAAUUGCUUAAACCAACCAUGAUGAAGAGUUCUAUGAAUUAUUUUUCAAAAUUUGAUUAAAUUGUGUCAUCCAGAUUAACGAACAUUGUUUCAUUGAAAUUAGUUCAUCAAGAUUGCGUAACUGGGAUAGCUUUCACACUGUAUUAACAUACAAAGAGGCUCUACUUCGUUAGAGUGUUCAAACUGUACACGUAAUUUGACUGCCGUACACAUUUUUCUUAUAUCUCUCCAAUCAACUUUAUUUUUCCUUUUGAAUAAAUUAAAGAUAAAGAAAGAAAACCAUUUUGCCUUAAAUGGCAAGAGAUUGAUGAAAAUCUACUCUAAAGAAGGGACAGGAUAUAUAUAAAUUAAAAUUCAUCAUGUACAAAGUAAGCGUAGGACAUUUUCAUCAUUUUACUUUGUCGUGCCCAUAAUUCUUUGCUCUAUAUAUUUUAUCUUUGUUGGUGGUCGAUGCUUUGGUUGGCUGUCAAUUGCGACGGACUGUCGUAAAAAUUGUCGGCAACCAACCAUGUGUUCUUGCAUGCCCGAUGUUCUCGCCACCUCACGUGGAAAUUUCCAAUGGAAUGGAGGGCCAAAUUUCAGUUUUUAUAUCAAUUUGUUUAUGUUAAAAUUUUCUUGUAAUAUAAGUCAAUGGUUGAAUUUGCAGUAGAAACAAACAAAAUAUGUGGACGAAUUUGAUAAAGUACAAGAAAAAAAAAACUGCAACUUAAGUAGAUGACGUGAUUCUUCACCCGGACAACAAGGAAGAAGACAUGAAAUCGGGAACACUGGAUGACGAAGUACACAAAUUAAACUUAUCUAAUCCAUUUUAAUAAAUUGUUACAGGGUGGCCAGUGGUCGGGAAUAAAUCACAGACUCGCAUUUCAGAUACCUCACGAACUUGAUUUUUGUUACUAACAAAUCACAUGAAGGUGACCAAGAGAAGGUUGAAAUGUCAUUGUGAGACGUCUUUCUUACCCUCGAAAGAUGAACUACCGUAAUGAAGCCACCAACUCAUCUUUUUAAAGGAAAGAAAAUCUAAGCCGUCCUAAUACAUGUUGUCACUCAUGGGAAUUAGAGAAGAAAUAUUCGUUAGCCACUUACAGUUGGAUGCUUAUUAUAUUAACUAGUUACAAAGUCAAAGGUUUUUCAUUGAAUGGAAUCAUAAGAUGUAAACAUCUAGGAUUAAUAUUUGGAAAAUAAUUAAACUCAAUCCCACCGCGUAGUUCUGUAACAAGUUUAUAUGUCUAAUAGAGUUUAUAGAUCUAAUAGUUAGUUAAGAGUAUUCAUUCUUACUCUUGAAGUUUUUUUGUUGACACUCUCUCUUUUAACCAUUUCUUGUAAUCAUUACAAGAAUUUGGAUUCUUUUAAUCCUAGGAGUGCAAUACUAAUUCUUAAUCUUUGUGUUAACCAUAAUAUCAUGACACAUAUCACCAAGUAUGAUCAGCAACUAGGAGAACGAGAGAAGAUGCGUGACUUAAGAAAAUUGAUGUGAUUUUGGAUUUUUUUUUACUUUAUGCACGCCCGCUCUUUAAAAAAAAAGAAAAAAGAUAUGUGAAAGGUGAAAAACAGUUGUUUCCGACAAACAUAAUUCACUUUCUAUAUGUGUACUUUGUAUUUUUUUUCAUCAAGUAAGGAAAUGGUGAAAAGAAAAAUGUACAUUAAUCGUAUCAUAUGAUAUAUUGUUCUUCUCAAGACAACUAAGAAGCUAAACUUAAUGUCAGAGAUUAAGACGUUUUGUUGGCUUGUCAUUCAAGGAAAGCUUAAUACAUAUAAUAUAGAGUUGGGAAGGUUAAUUUGUCCGUAUCUUGUGUAAAACAUGAUCUGGAUUUCAAACCCCCUAGACUUUUUGUUGUCCUACUCACGCAGCCCAUUCCCAAGUUCCAACCCUCCCAACAACCCUAUCCAGGAAGGCCAGCGCAGAUGUUAAGGCUGUGACCAGGGUUGUAAUACCAUCUCCAAUGGAUAAGUCAAAUCAUAAGUGGAAUGUCGCAUAAUUAAAUUUAAAAGUAAAAAAGAAGUUCCAACCGAUAGUUUUUCCGGAUCCUGAAAGAGUGGAUAACCGUGACUUAUCACCACUUGUCUUAUUUUUCGAAGAAAAAAAAAUGUCAAUCCUAUGUGAAUUAACAUGAGUUUUUGGUAUCAAAAUUGACAUGAAAAAUGUGUUGGCAAUUAAUUCUUUAGUGAUUUUAUUGUGCGGGUUUUAUUAAUGGACCAAUUCUAAAGCUUAAAAAUUAUUUUAAUUGAUUUCUUUUUCAUAAUGAACCUACGGAUAUUAAUUAUAAAUUUGACAUUACCACAUCAAUCGUUAAAAUUAACAUUUGACAUUCAUUUUUUGACUUUUCCAUUGAAGAUGUUCCAAUUAGCUUCAAAUGCCUUCGAGUUGAACUCAUGUUUGGGUCGUUUUAGGCAUGUUCAAUCUCUACUUGCAAGUAAAAGGAGUCGGGCACGAACAUAAUAUUCAGUUCGAUACAAAGAUGAGAUAGAAUUUUAGUAUGAUCAAAAGCUCGUAAAACUCUUAACAUCCCAUAUCAUUUUAUAUUGGACAUGCAAUCAUUUGAAAGUAUAGAGCUAUGCUUAAGCACAAAUUAUAUCAUUUGAACCAAGCACCUGGUACUUGGCGCGACUCAUCAACGCAGCUCUUGCAUUUUGUCCUUUGAUUUCUUCAAUAUAAAACCAUAAAUAAAUAGAAAUGUGCAAGAUAAGACGAGUCUGAUAAGAUUUCAAUAGAAGUGUUCCAUACGAACACUGUGCCAAGCACUUUUCAGCUGUUGGAUCGACGGAAUUUUACCACUGCUAGGCUAACAAUAUAAUUUCCGUUCGAUCUCUUUCAUAAACGAAACACUAAAACAUGAAUCGAUUUAUCAAUCACCCGAUUAACAUACUCCAAGAAACAGGAAAACAAUCAGUCACAAAUUACUCGCAAAUCGCAAUUAAAACGAAAGAAAUUGAGAAAUCCGGACUAGGCUACAAGCACGUCAAGUCAAGAUCGGCAAAACAUUUAAUAAAACACCAAAUCUGUCAUAUUUUCUGACCUUCCAAAUAUUCAAGUCCAUAACAGAAUGAACAAGCUGAAAACAGCAGAUGAAAUAUGCACAAAGGGAUACACCAAACGUACCUCCAUCGCGAGAAAGAUACACUGCGUUUUGUGAUCGCAUCUACACCAAGCGCUUCGUCCGACAAAACCAUCACUACACAUAUAGGUAUAGAAAAUAUCUAGCAUAGCGUCUUCAUCUCAUUUCUCAAACAGACAAUAUUAUACAAUGACAUUCAACUGGGUGUUUGCUUCGAUGAGUUCUACAACAGACAGGAAAUCAGAUCAUCAAGCACUAAUCACUAAUGACAUCGUCUCUUGAGCAAUCUCUCUAAUUUUCUCUUUCCUUGAGUGUACAGUAUAACCUCUAUAUUCAUAUGAGAAACAAACGAAAAAAACAAAGCCUCAUCCAUAUCCCAAACACCUAAAAAUGAGCCGGUCAGAAUGUUGCAAAAAGAGAAGUUUCGGGUAUUUCAGAAAUUUUCUGAGUCGUGUCAUAACUCUCAAGUGCCAUUGGAGGGUUCUGAAAUUUCCUGAGAUUUCAUGCAUUUAGUUCAGUGUGGGGCUGAGAGCCUGAUAGAACAAGGGAGAACCAAACAUCAAGAAAGACGAGAGAGAGUGUCCUACCUGGACUUCUUGGAGGAGAGAUUCAAGUUGAGCUGUUAUAUCGGAGAAGGAAGGCCGAUUGGAAGGAACUGAAUCCCAGCAACUCUGCAUUAAUUCCAAAACCUUGGGGUGUCCAUUAUUCGGAAUUUCCGGUCUCAGCCCCUGGGAAAUAGAAUGUCAAACAAAACAUAACUAUUUAGGCACAAAAGAAUUUGGAUAAAAUACUACGCUGAGUGAACAGCCAAACCAGUUGGUAUGUACCAUUGUACAUGAUUUCAGAGGCAUAAUUUAUACUUAUUUAUAUUAUAAGCAACAAAAAUGUCAUCAGAAGAUACAGAAAUUUGUUAUUCACUAAGUUUUACCCUUUUCUUGCGUUUAUAAAAUAUAUGCCUGCUUUGUAACAGCUUUUUUUAGUUUGAAUGGGAGGAUAUUCAGACCACAGGGUUACAAACAUAAACUCAGGCACGUCAUCAAUUCAAACUUUAAUUCGACAUGUAGAAUUGUCAACAUCUGUAAGAUACACACAUGGCAGGCAACAGGACGAAACACCAUAGAGGAAAAUUUAUAAUCAAGUUGCAUGAACUGUGGAUUAACAGGAUUUCUUAAGCAGCAAAUACAAUGCGGGCUAUAGAAAACACGUCUUCAUUCAUCAAUAUUCAAUACACAGACGAACAGAUAUAAAUAAUACAUAUGUAUUAUAAAUGGAUAUACGAAUAAACAAUAAACCUGUCUAACUCCCAAGGCAGCUUGCAAUGGAGUCAUGGUAUCAUAUGGAACCUGCAAUACAAAAUCAUACGAGUUUGAAAAUAAAUAAAUAAAAAAAUCUUAAGAAGUUUGAUAAUGUCCACAUCCAAAAUUCCCAAUACACAGAGGAAGCAUACUUUGGCUGUUACUAGCUCCCAAAGUACAAUUGCGAAACUGAACACAUCUGCUUUCUGAUCAUAUGGUUGAUGGUUGAUAACCUUGCAAAAUACAAGAAACCAAUAAGAUAUUGAAAUAAGAAUGUAAAUCAAUGUCGUCAAACUACGGUGCAUCUGCUAUGGUAAUGACGCAGUAACAAAACCAGAAUGUUGACAUCCAAAAUGCAAUUAACAAAACAGGAAAUUCAAUGAACCAUAGCCUGCUUGCCAAAACAAAGGGAUAUUGAUAAUUGUUUAUGAUAAACUAAUCAAUCCAUAGAUCACAACAAAGGACCAAUUUGUGAACCAAGUCCAACGGUUUAAGAGUUGACAAUAAUUUUCACGAAGAGACAAAGCAGGAAAAAAAAAGCAGAGGAAAAUAUUGAACCAGAAGAAUCGGACCUCAGGUGCCAUCCAUCGAUAGGUUCCAGUCUCUGCUGUCAUUACUCCCUCUUGAUUCUGAAACCGAGCAACACCAAAAUCUGCCACCUUUACAACCUGAAGGCAAACAAGAAAAUGAUUUUCAACUGUAAAAGAAAAGAAAAACCUAUUUGUUUUUCCUAAACAGAAAAAUAGAAUAGCCAGGAUGUGAGAGGAGAUUUCAACCAUUUAUACUUGGAAAUCUAACCAGGAAACAGUUUACCCAUUAUCAUAAACAAAUAAUGCUGUGUUUAGCUUUGAACUUUACUUAUAGUUAUUAAAAAAUAUAAAUAUACUUGUCGAAAGUAGAAUUGCAUUACCCCACAUCUUUAAACACAAAUCUAACUUCAUCAUUCAUGACAUCCUGAAAGUAUCAAAUUCACCAUCGACAAAAACUCAGAAGACAUCAAUUCCAGUAUGUCCAUGAGAAUUUUGGUCGAAUUGAACUUUUGACAUGCAGAUAUACUUCUCCCAUAAUCAAACUUCAUACCUCAAAGCACAACGCACAAUUACCCCAUACAAAACAAUAGACGGUUUGGUUACUCAAGUCCAAUAACUACAACUUAUAUCAACUAAAGCAGCAAUAGAUCCACUGAAGACAUUAGCCCUUUUAAAAAAAUUACAAACAAAUCUAUUGAACUUUAUCGUUUUCCUGUCGCCUAAGUUAAGCUGUAUAUGUACAAUGACAAAUUAAAUCAAUAGAGUUAUCAUGAAUAUGCGUAGGUUACAUUUUGCAGAAAGUGAAGCUGCCAAACAAGCAAACAAUAACCUUUAAUUCUUACAUUGUUAGUGUCCAUUAGCAGAUUUGCCGUCUUUAGAUCCCUAUGAAUUAUGUUAUUAUGAUGCAAAUACUCCAUUCCUUUACAGACAUCAAUUGCAAACUUUAGCAGUUCUGAAAGCUUCAAGAUGUUAUGAUUCUUAUGCAAAUAAUCGUAAAGACUUCCACCGGGCAUAUACUCUGCAAAAAAUAAAAAACAAAUGAAUUUUCAUAAUUAUGGUAAUAGUACAAUACAGCAACAAGUCGGCACUGGACUAAUUAUACUCAUCUCAAACUACAAACAGAUCUAAACAGUAAAGUUUUACAUAAAGAAAUCAAGAUGAAAUCAACAAUAAAGCUCUAACCAUAAAAAGAUACCCUGCCAAAUACUAUCCCAAAAUUCUCAAGAAACAACAUCCAAAGGUAAUCCCAAAACAAAAUCUAUCCCACGAAUGAUUACAUCCUUCAACUCCUAACCUACAUGAAGCUUCAUAAUACGCACCAAGUUGCCAAAGGCUGGCUGAUUGACAAAUUACAUAUAAUAGGGAAUUCCAAUAUGCACGACAUCCAAACAGCUUAGAGGAAUUUAAAAUAUAUAACACACAAGUAAAAUCUUCCUAAAUGCUGCAUACUCAGAGAAGAAGUACUAGCGCAUCCAAAACUUAAAAGAGUAUAAAUAAUGUGUAAGUAUGUUCCAACAACAACAACAAGGCAUUUUCCCACUAAGUAGGGUAGGCUAUAUGAAUCCUAGAACGCCAUUGCGCUCGGUUCUGUGUCACAUCUUCUGUUAGAUCCAAGUACUCUUAAGUCUUUUCUUAUAGUCUGUUCCAAAGCCUUCCUAGGUCUUACUCUACCCCUUCGGCCUUAAACCUCUGUCCUGUAAUCGCAUCUAGUGUAAGUAUGUUCCAAGAAAGAUAUUUUUAGUUCCAUUAAUACUUCUCCUGAUCCUAAUAAAAAUUUUCAAAAAGAUAGAAUGAAAACUUUGGUUGGCUACACCUAUAUUGGUGGAAACCAUCCGAUGUCAUUGAUUUUUUGUAGAAUGAUAUCCUUUGGUCCAUAAAAGAUAUUUUAUGAGAUCCGUUUUGGCGAAUGGUAAAAGGGGAUAGCUUUUAAGAAGGGAAAUGUGAGUGUGUUGGGGUGGAUUUUCUCCCUUUUUAUGUUCCUUGUAAAAGAAUAUACUAUGCUUCACUAACAAAAUUAAAAAGUAAAAAAGAAAACUUAUAAACAAUCUGAUGCUUAUUCUUACUUUUCUUAGUUGCACUGCUUCUAAAAACAUCUCCACAUGUAAGAUUCUGAUACAGAAUGAACAAAACCUCGAAAGAAGCUAACUUAACAAAUAUAGUAAAUGUUGGAGGCAACCAACAGGAGAGUUCCAUACCUGUCACUAUGCACAAAUGUGGAGACUUUGUACAUGCACCGAUAAAGCGCACAACAUUACUAUGAUGGACCUCUCUGCAAUCAUAAAACAAAUAUAAUAUAUAUCAGUAUUGCUUAAUAGCAAUACGCAUGCCAACAUAACCUAUAAAAUGGAACAACAGUUUUCUUUUCCCUUGAAUAAGAGACAAUUUAUUAGUAAAGAAUAAGAUACAGAGAAGACACUAUGAAAAACUAGAAACAGCAAAAGGUGGAACCUAGCCAUGAAUUUUAACUGCCUAGAUGUGUGAAAUGCAGCAUGGGCUAGCUGCAUUUUACUUAACUAUCAGAAAAUUCAUUCACUUUAUGGGUUUCAAGAAUAGUUACAGCUAAUAUACCACAAAAUGAAAGACUAGCUGCAUUAAAUGUGAUUUUUUAAAUGACACAAUAAGACAUGUUUCUUGGUUCCAUUUGUAAUUACAUUUGGCAUAUUCUUCCAAAGCCUCGUCGAAAUAAAGACCAGCAACCUGGAUAUUCAACCAGCAAUCCUGGAUAUUCAACCAGCAAAUCCAGAAAACGUGAAGCAUUCUCUUGUCAUUCCCAGAGAUUAUAGGAAUUGUUCUUGUACAGGCUAGUAUAGAAGUUCAUUAUGGAGGAUGUUGGAAAAUAAUGGAAAAAUCUUUAAAAGUUUACAAGUGGAGAAGAGCUCUCAAUAGAAAUGAUAAGAGUGAUUUCAUAUGAACUCCCCAGCAGGGACCAGCCUAGAUUAAAAGAAGAUAAAGAUAGAAAAUUAUUCACCUUAAAAUUGCCACUUCUUGAGCAAACUCAUCCUCUAGAGCAUCAUUCAAAUGUUCAGAUCUCAAAAUCUUAACAGCAACAUCUUGACCAAGAUAAAUUCCACGAUACCUGAGAAUGAACAGUAAUAUAAAGUUAAGCAGCAGAGAAGACUAUAAACGAAUAAAGGAAUGCCAAAAAUAAAACAUAUCUUACAAAUCUCCACAUGACCCAGAUGCAAUUCUGUCUCCGAUCAUUAAUAAUCUUCGGUCUAUUUCCCAGAGUCCUGUCUUUUCUUUCACCGAUAAUUCUUUCUCCACAGCCGAAUGAGAAUGUGAAGAUCUUGACCAUGACCCCUAAAUUACCAAACAACAGAUACGUAUUACUAUCUUAUAAUUCUUCGAUUAUUUUAGCAUUGUGACGCAAUAUACCUCACUUCUAGCAAUUGCCUUUUCCAUAGCUUCAUACAGACCAUCUGUAUCCUGACCACAACAUUGCAAAGUCAGCAACAUUUGAACUCAGCACAGUUGUCAUAAAAUUAAUAUAAUCACAAUUCCCCUUAAUGUAUUCUGAAGACAUUUUCUUGGAGGAACUGUAGCUUUUUCGACUUGUCCAAUUUGAUAAAACCCAAUAUUUAUAACAAACAUAUUGGGAUGCAUUAGAUCCAAUAAUUGUAGCAAUGCCAUAUUACAGCCCAGAGAUAAACACUGACUAAAAAGCGUUCAUCCAUGCAUAAAAAGAGAAAGCACAUAAACAGCUUGCAGUAUAGCAAAAUCCAUAGCCAACAAAAAUAAGCAUAUUGUAGUAGCAAUGUACCACAUAUUUUAAGAAAGGCCAUCCAACGUUUCGUGUAUUGGAAAUUACUCAUUUAUAAUAUAAUAACAUGCAAAAUUUCAAGAUUCAAAACUCUGACAGUAGAAAGUAAUCUGUGAAUGACGAUAAACACAUUAUAUAGUAAAAGAAAACUACCUCAACAGGCCAUCCAUCUACCACAAAUACAUCUAAAGAGUAGCCAUCGCUCGUCGAGAAGACAUGUGCUUCACGGAUGUUAAGUUCCAAAUCCGAAAGCAAGGAAGAAAGCUACAGAAUGAUGACAUAAGUUAGAAAGAUGCGACCACAGUAUGGUUACACUUCUGCAGUUAUCUUGGAUUCUACAACAUAAACAAUGCAUAUAAUAUGUAUCAAAUGUACUGAAUAGUCCAUUGCUACCUUUAAAUUCAUUUUCCAAUUGAAUUUGAAGGCUAUAGAUUUUCAACUUUAUAUUAAUGAAAGAAAUCAUAAUGAAAAAGAACUCUUCCAAUACAACGUCUUCUCACAAUUAUAUUUAAUACCCAAGCUUACUGCAUUGAGGUGCCAGCGUGUGAGGUCUAGACACUAGAGUUGACACAAAACAUCAGAUGGAGAACCAUAAAACAUGAAUGACGGACCAUCACAGUGUCACAUGAAAACAAAGAUAGUUGCUUGAGUUAUAAACAUUAGGUAUUGAACACACAUUCAUAUUAGUGAGUACCAAGAGAACUGCUUAAGUGGAGACAGAGUAUUACAGGAUAAUGAAGCUAUCAAAUGAUGUCAAAUUUCAAUACCCUUUAACAUUGAAGAAAUUAUGUACAUGUGGACACUAAAACUACAGAAAUACUAUCACUUGAUGCUAUUCAAUCAGAUGAUCCUUUUGAUUAUUAAUUGAAAAAAGGAAUGCUGAAUCCAACUUCAUGAUCCAGAAUGUAAGUGCAAUAUCAGAUAAGUUUGUCCACUAUCCUAUCAUACUAAUCUUAUAUGACCCCUUUGAGAUAUAACUCGUUGAACAGUUGAACUUAGUUUACCAAAUAGACCUUCAGCUUUAAUUUGCAAACACGUAAGGGAACAAUCAGCAGAUUUUCGGGCUUCAAACUCUGAUUUCUUUUCAGAUUCUAAGAAUAUUUUGAAACUGAGAUCGAGGUAAACUCCAGGUGGUAAUACCAAACUUGACAACAAACGAAUAAAUUAAACCUUCUCAGUCAUACCUGGCUAAGAAGCUUAGGCUUGUCAAUAGUUGAAAAUAUUACUUCAUGAAUGGGAACAUGUGGUAUAUCUUGCCUGCGUUAUACAGCCCAAUGGUCAAUAUCAUUUCUGCAUAAUUAUACAUGUUUUUUCUUUAAAUGAGAAACAAAGUUUUACUAAAGAUACUCAAAAACACAGUACAAGACUCUGAACAAACUGGUCCACCAACAAAAUGAUUCAACUAAUGAAAAACAAAUCUGAAUUACACCUAUGACAAUGUAAUGGAACUUUCAAAAUUACCCUAUAAGAGCUUCCCAAUCUAAUAAGAUGUUAGAAAUUGGUAGAUCCCUAAAGGGUGGAGAAAAACAAGCUGAUAAGCAUAAAUGUGAUCUCUCAAAUAUACGGGCACAGUUCAUAUAAAAACUGCACAAUUAAAAUAUAAAGUAUAUGAAAAAGACCCGGAUAAAGGAGGAGGGGGAGGGCGUCAGGUAGUCGACAGCCGGCACUCCAUGAUCACGUCGAAUCCUUAUGAAAAUGAAUCCAGAACAAAAUCGCGCUAAAGCUAGGGCGUCACCCGUAAGUGGCGCGCUGUGUGGCCUGAGCACAGUGAUAAGUGAGCAAGGGUCGCUGUAUCUCCAUCGGCACCCGGAUGCAGUGUUAAAUGAGCAAGGGGGCCAUAGAAACUUCUUUUCGAACGACUCCACUCAAAGUUGUUUGGGAGCAUAUGCUCCUAUCAACUUUACCCGGGACACACAAAAGAAGUACUUUGAUCCUAUUAGACGGGGGAGGGUGAAGAAGCUAGGACAGAAGGGUAGAGUUCAAGAGAGCAAAAUGCGUUUAGGAACGUGGAAUAUAGGAACCUUAACGGGAAAAUCUAUGGAAGUAGUGGAAGUUAUGGUGAGGAGAAGGAUAAAUAUUAUGUGCCUACAAGAAACUAAGUGGGUUGGUAGUAAGGCAAAGGAUCUAGAAAACUCAGGGUUUAAACUUUGGUAUUCGGCACAAAUAGAACGAGAAACGGUGUUGGCAUCAUCGUGGACAAGACCUUGGUACAAGAUGUUGUAGAUGUCAAGAGGGUAGGAGAUAGAAUCAUGGCAAUCAAGAUUGUAAUAGGACAAGAACUUAUCAAUGUGAUUAGUGCGUACGCACCUCAAGUAGGGUUGGAUACGAGUUCGAAGGAGAAAUUUUGGGAAGAUCUUGGAGACUUGGUGCAAGGAAUUGCUCAGACGGAGAAGUUAUUUAUAGGAGGAGAUUUAAAUGGACACGUGGGCAGGGAGACAGGCAACUAUGGAGGUUUUCAUGGUGGCCAUGGUUUUGGGGAGAGAAACGAGGAUGGGGAAGCUAUCUUGGAUUUUGCAAUGGCAUAUGAUCUCUUCUUAGCCAACACCUUCUUUAAGAAGAGAGAAGAACAUGUGAUCACCUACAAGAGUGGGUCGUCAAAAACACAAAUAGAUUUUCUUCUAAUGAGGAAAGGGGAUCGUAUAACUUGUAAGGAUUGCAAAGUUAUACCAGGAGAGAGCGUGGCUAAUCAACAUCGCUUGUUGGUGAUGGAUGUACAUAUCAAAAGAGUAAGACAAAAGAACAAGACUUGGAAGUGCCCAAGGACUAGAUGGUGGAAUCUAAAAGAAGAAAAACAAGCCAUUUUCAAAGAGAAGGUAAUCACCCAAUGUGUGUGGGAUAGAGAGGGGGAAGCUAGCCAAAUGUGGGAUUCCAUGGCUAGUUGUAUCCGAAAAGUAGCAAAAGAGGUAUUAGGAGAGUCCAAGGGCUUUGCCCCACACCAAAAGGAAUCUUGGUGGUGGAAUGAGGAGGUACAAACAAAGGUGAAGGCUAAGAAGGAAUGUUGUAAAGCCUUAUACAAGGAGAGGACUGAUGAAAAUGGUGAAAGGUAUAGAAAAGCGAAGCAAGAGGCGAAGAAAGCUGUCAGAGAAGCUAAGUUAGCGGCUUACGACGAUAUGUAUAAACGACUAGAUACCAAAGAAGGAGAGUUGGAUAUCUAUAAACUAUCUAGAGCAAGGGAAAAAAGAAGACAAGGGACCUAAACCAAGUGAGGUGCAUCAAGGAUGAGGAUGGAAAGGUUCUUGCUACAGAGAACGCGGUUAAAGACAGAUGGAGAGGUUAUUUUCAUAAUCUUUUCAAUGAAGGACAUGAAAUGAGUGCUUCUUUAGGGGAGUUGAGUAACUCAGAAGAGUGUAGAAACUACUCUUUUUAUCGUCGAAUCCGGAAGGAAGAAGUGGUUGUAGCUUUGAAGAAGAUGAAGCAUAAAAAAGCAAUAGGCCCAGACGAUAUACCAAUCGAAGUGUGGAAACUUUUGGGAGAGACAGGUAUAACAUGGCUCACUGACCUUUUCAAUAGGAUUUUGAAAACGAAGAAGAUGCCAAAUGAGUGGCGAAUGAGCACUUUGGUGCCUAUCUACAAGAAUAAGGGCGACGUACAAAAUUGCAUGAACUAUAGGGGUAUUAAGCUAAUGAGUCAUACAAUGAAGCUCUGGGAGAGAGUCAUUGAGCAUAGAUUGAGGCAAGAGACACGGGUUUCGGACAACCAAUUCGGGUUCAUGCCAGGGCGCUCAACCAUGGAGGCAAUCUAUCUCUUACGAAGAUUGAUGGAAAUAUAUAGAGAUGGGAAAAAGGAUUUACACAUGGUCUUUAUAGAUUUGGAAAAAAGCGUAUGAUAGGGUCCCAAGAGACAUUCUUUGGAGGAUUUUAGAGAAGAAAGGAGUAGUACGAGUAGCAUAUAUCCAAGCUAUAAAGGAUAUGUAUGAAGGAGCAAAGACUGCCGUAAGAACUCAUGAAGGACAAACCGAAAGCUUUCCCAUAACUGUAGGAUUACAUCAAGGCUCAUCCUUAAGUCCUUACCUUUUUGCGUUGGUAAUGGAUGAGUUAACACGACAUAUUCAAGAUGAUAUUCCUUGGUGUAUGCUUUUCGCAGACGAUAUAGUGUUGAUAGAUGAAACUCAGGAAGGGGUAAAUGCAAAGCUUAACCUUUGGAGAGAAGUGUUGGAAUCUAAAGGUCUUCGCCUAAGCCGAUCAAAGACAGAAUAUAUGGAGUGCAAGUUCAGUGCAAAUGGAGGCCAAAACGAGUUAGGGGUGAGGAUCGGAGAUCAAGAAAUACCAAAGAGCGACCGUUUUCGUUACCUAGGAUCUAUCUUUGCAAAAGAACGGAGAAUUAGAUGGAGAUCUCAACCAUAGAAUACAAGCUGGAUGGAUGAAGUGGAAGAGUGCAUCCGGCGUGUUGUGUGACCGCCGUAUGCCACUGAAGCUCAAGGGAAAAUUUUAUAGGACGGCAAUAAGGCCGGCGAUGCUGUAUGGCACAGAAUGUUGGGCGGUGAAACAUCAACACGUACACAAAAUGGGUGUAGCGGAGAUGAGGAUGCUUCGUUGGAUGUGUGGGCACACGAGAAAGGAUAAGAUUAGGAAUGAGGAUAUCCGGGGUAAAGUAGGAGUAGCCGAAAUUGAAGGAAAGAUGAGAGAAAAUCGGUUACGGUGGUUUGGACAUGUGCAAAGAAGGCCUACUGACGCUCCGAUUAGAAGAUGCGACUAUGGGACAGAGGUUCAGGGCCGAAGGGGUAGAGGAAGACCUAGGAAAACUUUGGAAGAGACUCUAAGAAAAGACUUAGAGUACUUGGAUCUAACGAAGGAGGACAUGACACAGGAUCGAGCACAAUGGCGUUCUAAGAUUCAUAUAGCCGAUCCCACUCAGUGACUUGGAUUUUCCAAGUCUCCAACCGAGAAGUUUUCCUCACUCGGGAAAUUAAGGGAACACUACCCCAACCUACAUGCUCCACUCAGAAAGCUUCAACAUACAAGCUUCAACAAAAGAAAAUUCAAAGAACUUAGCGAAGAAGGCUUUGGUGUAUUUAACACAAUACGUUGAAAUGAAGGAAAGCUUAUUUAUUGAUAUCCCCGAUAAGCUACAAAUAUGUACAUAUACAUGAGUCAAAAUAAACACAAGAGGGAGCCUUCACAAAGGUUGCUUAGGAGAAGUCUCAGCAGUCGGUAGAGCCCCAGAAAGAGAAGGCACCGGAGGGGGAUCAUUUGGAGCCUCAGUACUGGACAGAACCCUAGAAGGAGGAGGCAUCAGAGGUUGAUCAUUUGGAGCUUCAUUACGCGGUACAGCCCCAGAAGACGAAGGCAAUAAAUGCCUUUGGAACAAACCCACAAAUCUCUGAUGAUCAAGUAAAACCUGACCAUCAGUUUCCUUCAUCUGGUCAAGCUUCCUCUUCAUGUUUGUAGCAUAGUCAUGUGCGAGCCGGUGCAACUGUUUAUUCUCAUGCUUGAGCCCUCUAAUCUCCUGUUUGAGACUCAUCACUUCAGCCGCCAAUGAUUCAACUUGGCGGGUUCGAGCAAAUAGGCGUUGGGCCAUAUUAGACACAGAACCUGCACACUGAACACUGAGAGCCAGCGAAUCCUUAACAGCUAACUCAUCAGACCGUUUGGAAAGUAGUCUGUUAUCUUUGGGAGUGAGAAGGUUCCUGGCCACCACCGCAGCGGUCAUAUCAUUCUUCAUCACGGAAUCCCCAACGGUAAGAGGACCAGUAGGGGAGACGAAGGAUGGGCGCCAUAUGUUGUCUGGAGAAGGCGGGGCUGCCUCUUCAACAAGGUUCAAGUCAAAACGACGGUCGGAGGGGCCAGACAUUUUCAAAGGUGUUGAAGAGAGAAGAGGUCGGACAAAUCAAGAUCUUAGAAGUGCAAGAAUGAAGCUUCUACUGGUGGAGAUUCAAGUGUGCUUUGGAACUUAAUGCCAGCCCCUAUAUAAAAAUCUGCACUCGACGAAGCUUUAGAAAUCGAAGAGGCGCCUGCUCAGAAAUCGAAGAGGCGUUUGCUUUCUCAAAAGCUGGGCUGCUUAGAGAUCACGAGGGUUGAUCUCAGAAAUCGAAGAGGUGUUUGCUUUCUCAAAAGUUAGGCUGCUCAAAGACCACGAAGGCCGAUCUCAAAAAUCGAAGAGGCGCUCGCUUUCUCAAAAGCUGGGCUCCCCAGAGACCACGGGGGCCGAUAUCAGAAAUCGAAGAGGCACCUACUUUUCCAGCCUUUUCCAGCCUUGUCAGCACCUGUCACACGCACACUCAGUUUUGCGGAAAUUAUGGGCAUUCUGUCAAAGACUUCUGGGGAAGUAGAAAACACAUGAAUCUUACUGUUCAAUCACCCACUUCCCACACGCAACAAUAGCUCAUGGGUACCACAGAUAACUUUGCCAAAGUUCUCUGCCAAAGUUGAGCACGUGAAGCUUGCAGCUCCUACUACAUCGCUCUGACCAAGAAGGGUAAAAGAAUAGCAAAGAAACAGCACUAACAAAGUUUAGACCCAUAAAUUUUGAAGGUCUAGCUACCAUAUUAUUACCCACAAGGGUAAAGGAACAGUACCACUGCUGGAUAAUUGGAAAGUCCCUGUGUGUCAACCUCUGUGCUUCGUGGCAAGGUAGACUAGCAAACAUGCCCAACCUUUACUCACAUUCGAGAAAACACUCCCAAUAAGAUUGCUUGCUCCAAAAUCGAAGAGGCACCGUCCUCCGAAUCUCGAGAGCCAGACUCCCAACAUGACUACUUUCUUAAAAAUCGAAGAGAGAGGGUAAAGGAACAGUACCAUUGCUGGAUAAUUGGAAAGUCCCUGUGUGUCAACCUCUGUGCUUCGUGGCAAGGUAGACUAGCAAACAUGCCCAACCUUUACUCACAUUCGAGAAAAACACUCCCAACAAGAUUGCUUGCUCCAAAAUCGAAGAGGCACCGCCCUCCGAAUCUCGAGAGCCAGACUCCCAACAUGAUUACUUUCUCAAAAAUCGAAGAGACACUGCUCCCCGAAUCUCGAGAGCCAGACCCCCAGCAUGAUUGCUUUUUCAAAAAUCGAUGAGGCAUCGUUCUCCGAAUCAAUCGAAGAGGCGCUCGCUUUCUCAAAAGCUGGGCUGCUCAGAGACCACGAGGGCCGAUCUCAGAAAUCGAAGAGGCACCUACUUUUCUAGCCUUGUCAGCACCUGUCACACGCACACUCAGCUUUGCAGAAAUUAUGGGCAUUCUGUCGAAGACUUCUGGUGAAGUAGAAAGCACAUGAAUCUUACUGUUCAAUCACCCACUUCCCACACGCAACAAUAGCUCAUGGGUACCACAAAUAACUUUGCCAAAGUUCUCUGCCAAAGUUGAGCACGUGAAGCUUGCAGCUCCCACUACAUCGCUCUGACCAAGAAAGGUAAAAGAAUAGCAAAGAAACAGCACUAACAAAAGUUUAGACACAUAAAUUUUUGAAGGUCUAGCUACCAUAUUAUUACCCACAACUGUAAAGGAACAGUACCACUGCUGGAUAAUUGGAAAGUCCAUGUGUGUCAACCUCUGUGCUUCGUGGCAAGGUAGACUAGCAAACAUGCCCAACCUUUACUCACAUUCGAGAAAACACUCCCAAUAAGAUUGCUUGCUCCAAAAUCGAAGAGGCACCGACCUCCGAAUCUCGAGAGCCAGACUCCCAACAUGAAUACUUACUCAAAAUCGAAGAGAGGGUAAAGGAACAGUACCAUUGCUGGAUAAUUGGAAAGUCCCUGUGUGUCAACCUUUGUGCUUCGUGGCAAGGUAGACUAGCAAACAUGCCCAACCUUUACUCACAUUCGAGACAACACUCCCAACAAGAUUGCUUGCUCCAAAAUCGAAGAGGCACCGCCCUCCGAAUCUCGAGAGCCAGACUCCCAACAUGAUUACUUCCUCAAAAAUCGAAGAGACACUGCUCUCCGAAUCUCGAGAGUCAUACCCCCAGCAUGAUUGCUUUCUCAAAAAUCGAAGAGGCAUCGUUCUCCGAAUCUCGAGAGCCAGAUACCACAGACCACUUUUUCAAAGUGCUCUGACAGAGUUAAAACAUGUGAAACUGGCAGCUCCCACUACCGUGCUAUGACCAAGCAGGGUAAAGGAAUAGCAUUACUACUUGUUGUUAGGGAGACUCCUAUAUAUGUCGACCUCCAUCCCCAACGGACAGGCAGACCUGCAAAAAUGCUCAACCCUUCAUCAUAUCUGAGAGGGCACUCCCAACGAAGCCUUUCGAAAUAUUCAGCUUUCUUUCCCCCCGAUAAUACCUCUGCAAACAAGCUAUACUAGAGCAAGAAUAUCUCAUAUCAUCAGGGUUAAAAGCAAGAGUAUCCCAUAUCAUGCUUUUUCCCUGUCUUUUCUUUUUGGCCUUGUUUUUACCUGCAAGACAAGGAGAAAGAGAGCAAUCAGUCAGCACUUGGAAUCAAGCUUCCAGCCAGGAACUGACUGCCUGGAACCCCUUACCUGAUUACUUACCUGGCAUUGCUCUCGAGUACUCAUCUUCAACAUCUUAUGUUUCCAGGGAAGAUUCCGCAUCUGCUUGAGGAACAGAUAGGGCAAGUGCGAAGGAUACAAGGAAGCAUGUGGAGACAAGCGUAACAGCACACGUGCCGAUACAUUCAUUACUCUGUCAAAAGCAAAAGUAUCCCAUAUCAGCAGGGUGGAACGUACUCUAGAUUUGAUGGACUUGUUUUGACCCUCAAAUUCUUCAGUCGGCCUUAUACUCUGGAGAAAACCAGAAAACCCUCCAGCUCAGUUCAAGAAUAAGCCUGUGGAAAGUUACUUCUUCAAAAGCAAAAGUAUCUCAUAUCAUCUCUUCUCAUUUUUCUUCUCUUUUAUCCUUCAUGCUGCUGCAAGAUGGGGAGAAGGUGAACAAUCAGUCGGAGCUCUGAUUGCUUACCUUGUCUGUCACCUCUUUCAGCAGACCCCUAGCUCGGCGACUUGGGGGACUCCUACUACAUGGUUUGUAUCGCGCUUGACCAAGCCUGAAACUACAAGUAAGCUUCAAGUGAAAUUGAUACAUUACCUUGUGCAUCUCCACCAGUUAAAGAUAUCCACCCCUGGAUGGAGGAAGAGUACUUCCAGAGAAGAUGCCACAUCUACCUAUGAGACAGAUAAGGCAAGUCAAGACGACACCACACUCCGAUACUUAGAAGUUUCGUGAUUACGAGAUCAUUCUCCCACAAUAUUUCCUAAUGUCAUUUGUACUAAAAUCAUUCACUUGUACUCACUAAAUGAGAGCUUGAACCUAUGUACUUGUGUAAACCCUUCACAAUUAAUGAGAACUCUUCUAUUCCGUGGACGUAGCCAAUCUGGGUGAACCACGUACAUCUUGUGUUUGCUUUCCUAUCUCUAUCCAUUUAUAUACUUAUCCACACUAAUGACCGGAGCAAUCUAGCGAAGAUCAUAAAAAGCGAUCGUUUUCGCUACCUAGGAUCUAUCUUGCAAGAGAACGGAGAAUUAGAUGGAGAUCUCAACCAUAGAAUACGAGCUGGAUGGAAAGAGUGCAUCCGGCGUGUUGUGUGACCGUCGUAGGCCACUGAAGCUCAAGGGAAAAUUUUAUAGGACGGCAAUAAGGCUAGCGAUGUUGUAUGGCACAGAAUGUUGGGUGGUGAAGCAUCAACACGUACACAAAAUGGGUGUAGCGGAGAUGAGGAUGCUUCGUGGGAUGUGUGGGCACACGAGAAAAGGAUAAGAUUGGGAAUGAGGAUAUCCGAGGUAAAGUAGGAGUAGCUGAAAUUGUAGGAAAGAUGAGAGAAAAUCGGCUCCGGUGAUUUUGAACAUGUGCAAAGAAGGCCGACUGACGCUCCGGUUCGAAGAUGUGACUACGGGACAGAGGUUCAGGGCCGAAGGGGUAGAGGAAGACCUAGGACAACUUUGGAAGAGACUCUAAGAAAAGACUUAGAGUACUUGGAUCUAACGGAGGACAUGACACAAAACCGAACGCAAUGGCGUUCUAGGAUUCAUAUAGCCGACCCCACUUAGUGGGAAAAGGCUUUGUUGUUGUUGUUGUUGUUGUUGUUGAUUAAGCAUUAAUAUCAGCAUAAAGAAAAAUUAUUUUCUAUUUUUAAUUUGGAAAAUAAGACCUUUAGCAUAUUACUUCAUAAAUAUGUGUAUUUACUAUUUAUGCGUGCAUGCAUAUGUUUGUCUUUAUACAAUUUCAUGAUCACAUUGUACACUUCUAUGUAUCAUGUCUACCCUUUAUACACAUGAAAUAUCAUAUACAGUAAUUGCUUGUCAACACAUUCAUUAGAGCUUUACAAAUCGUUUAUCUAAUUUCUGUUUGAUAAGAUACAACAAAUUUAUCAGAAUAAAAUUUUGAUAAAAAUAGUGCACAUUAAAGCAAGAAGAAAGUAAGUUUUAAACAAGUGUCUUCCAACCUAUAGAAAGAGGGCUUCUCAAAAUUCCACCCAAAACUUUAACACUGAAAGCCUAUAAUAAGGCAACAUACAUUAUUCUACCCCUAAUUGCUACAAAUUCUUGAUGCUUGACCCAUAGCAAUUUUUCAGUGUGCAUCUCAAUAUUAACUUAGUCUUCAUCAUCCCAAGUCCUCAAAAAUGUAUACGCAAAAUAUGAGAAGUCAAAUGAAGCAAAACAAUAACUAACUUCGCUGCACAUAACAAUCUGCUCCAUAACUUAACCAAUGCAUAUGUUCAUCCAAAAGAAAAUGAUGCAUCUAUUCACCAUUCUUUCUACUGUUAAUUCACCAUUUACGAUAUAAAGAAAGGUCUGACUCACCUUCGAAGAAAAUUACUAGUGCUAAAUUUUUCAUAAGCUUUGCCCAAGGUAAAAGUUAACUUUCCUAGGAACCAGUGGAUUCCAUUAAAUCUUUAGGAAAAAAACUGAUAGAGUGACAACCAAUCAACCUUCAGAAUAAAGAGUUCCUACAAAAGAGUUCCUCAAAAUAAUUAGGGACCAAAGCCAUUAUGACUUGUUGCUCUUGAUAUGCAAUGGGUUUCUAUUGAGCACUUUCAUUUUGGGUAUUGUUGGUUAGAGACCAAAAGCUUGCAGCUCACUAAGAUAAAGUAAACGAGUAAACCAAUAUAUUGGUGGCAAUUGAUGUAUCAAAUGGUAAGAAUUAAUCUGACAAUGUGAAAAGGAUGGUGAUUUUCACACCCCAUUUACCUCCCGCACACUCUUUCGAUUUUUUAAUAUCUUUUUGCUCUUCCAUCACUUUGUCUUUAUUUUAGAGGUGGGCCUUCACCAAGAGCAAACAAAUAUUAAAAUUUUGAAAAUGUGUGGGAAGUAACAUGGGGUGUGAGAAAAUCACCACCCAUGUGAAAAAAUUAAAAAUCUUGUUAUAAUGAACCCAGUAGUGCUUAUUCUAGAACAGAAAACAAGCCAACAAACUUUGGUUGAGUACCUUGUGGGAGAAUCCUUGGUCAGAUGUCUUCCGUCCAUAUCCUUAGCAUUCUUUCUAACAUCCAAAUUUAGGUCCCCGAGCUUAGAGCAAGGUUCAAAGUCAGCCGCACAAUUCCUAGUUUUACUCAGAGAAAUGAUAUAAAUAAAUGACAACCAAAAAAGGUCCACAGAUCAAUAUCCAGAGUCACCGAAACCCUUGUUGGGAAAAACUACGGCAAAAAGUUUAAGCACUCAGAGACAAAGUACAACACAGAUAUAAUAUGGUUAUUACCUAUCAUGUGACAGAGUAGCUCCUUCACUAGUUUCAUCACAUGAUGACCUUGGGGUUGAAACAACACUUGUACAUUGUUGAACAUCAUCAUCUUCGUCGUCUGUCCCCAUAGAAGUAUUCUGAUCAUAAGUACAUAAAAUGAUGAACAUAAGAGGAACUUAAUGAUAAAUAAAAGGGUAAAUCGCCAAAAUGGUCCCUGAGAUUUGCAUAACUUAUCACUUUGGUCCCCAAGAUUCCAAAUCGAUAAAAGUGGUCCCUGAGAUUGUCCACCAUCCAUCAUUUUGGUCCUUCCGUUAAGUGUCCCAGAGCUCUUGGCCAGAAGUUUGGGCAAUUUUCAAAGCUUCGUAACUCAAUCGUUUCUUAACCAAAUUCGAUCCAUAAUAUAUCAAAAUGAAGAUAGGAAAGUGUAGAAUAAGAUUAUACCUAUUUCGAAGCCCAAUGGUUGCCGGAGAUGGCCGGAAAAUAGCCUCAAAGUUGACUGGUCCGAGCGAAAACUUGAAAACUCGCCGGAAACUGGGUAAACUUUAAACGUUCGUAACUUCUUCAAUACUCAACGAAAUCAAGUGAUUCAAAAACGAAAAUCAUACUUCUCGAUGAGACAAAGAGAAUGGUCUAGGUACCAUUCUCUUUGUCUUGUCGAGAAGUAUUUCUCUUUGUCUCGUCGAGAAGUAUAAUUUUCGUUUUUGAAUCACUUGAUUUCGUUGAGUAUUGAAGAAAUUACGAACGUUUAAAGUUUACCCAAUUUCCGGCGAGUUUUCAAGUUUUCGCUUGGACCAGUCAACUUUGAGGCUAUUUUCCGGCCAUCUCCGACAACCAUUGGGCUUCGAAAUAGGUAUAAUCUUAUUCUACACUUUCCUAUCUUCAUUUUGAUAUAUUAUGGGUCGAAUUUGGUUAAGAAACGAUUGAGUUCCGAAGCUUUGAAAAUUGCCCAAACUUCCGGUCAAGAGCUCCGGGACACUUAACGGAGUUUUUAAUGGAAAAUGAUGGAUGGUGGACAAUCUCAAGGACCACUUUUAUUGAUUUGGAAUCUCAGGAACCAAAGUAAUGAGUUAUGCAAAUCUCAAGGACCAUUUUGGCGAUUUAGCCUAAAUAAAAUAGAAGGGGAAAAAAGAACUAAUGUCACAUUGGAACACCACACCACCAAAGUUUCUCAUGCUUUACAAGAUUCUGUAAGAUCUUAUUUUCAAGUGUAGUCAAGGCUUCUUUAGGUAAAGUGACAGUCAGUACAUGCAACAGGAUUCAUACAUUACUACACAUCGUGAUUGAUCCAUAUCCUGGUCAACAACAUUGUGAUAUCACAGUUCCAACAUUUUUUCCCAGAACCCCACAAUGUUUCCAAUAAAACAGCUAGUAAGAAAAUCCGAAUCAGACUAAAAGAAGGUAUAGUUGAAAUGCUAAUUAAUGAUAAUAACACGUAAAUAUCUAUCUGACGUAAUGACUUUUAAUUUUACUCUAAGAGACUAACCAUGUGGAGAAUCUUAUUGAAAGAAACUUGUAAUGACUUUUAAUUUCAAUCUAAGAGACUAACCAUGUGGAGAAUCUUAUUGAAAGAAACUUGUAUCAUUAAUUUAUCAAAGCAAUAUUAUUUCUGAGGUUAAGACUAAGGGCCUAGGUAAGGGAACUUUUGUUGAGUACUAACAUAGUGAAUAUCACAAGCAAAACUAGUGCGAAAAAUAGUCACCAAUUCGAGAUAAAUUUUUUAAAUGAACCUACAAGAGUUACAGUGAAUGUGCUAUAAAAAGGUUAGAUUAGAAUUUGGUUUUUAAGAACUUCACAUAGGCUGUCUCGUACACUUGUGAUGUAGACUCAAGUUUUCAAACCCAAAGCGCACAAGUUUGCAUUAAUAGGCAAGGAAUUUAUAGUCCUACAUAUUGGAACUUGAAAUCAUGCACCAACUUUAUCUUCUUCUUCUCGACUGAAGCCCUUUACCUAGUGCAAGCCAGAGACAAAAUAAAGUAGUAGUACUGAACCAUUUGUGUUACUUAUAACCUUCUUCUUCUCCGUUGAAACCACUGCUCUAUACCUUUUAAGGAUAACAUUUUCCCAAUUAUUCCAUCAUUUCUCAAAGCUAACCAUGGUUAGGGACAUUAUGAGUCAGAGUAAUUAUCAAGGAAGUCAUUGAUACCCCAUCCUUCUUUCCCACUCGCGAUUACUACAUAUAUGAACCUUUUGUGGCUUUAAAAGGAAAUAUAGUAUUCAUCCAAAUAAUUUAAAUUUUUUCUGGAAAAUAAUGAUUACGUGAAUGCAAGUUGUUGCAAACAAUCUAAAACGUGGCUUUUUAUAACAACAGGAAAUAAACUAAUACUUGGUUUAGCACUGGGACUCAAAGAAACUCUAGUUCAGAACAAGAUUCCAAACAUAAAAUACUGAAGCAAAUGAUGCGGAAUACCUCCAUGAAACGGAUAUGAUACACGGGCCGCUUCUCAGGGUCUUUUGCCAAUGCAAGAAGCUUUUGAUGUAACAAGACAUCUUCCACUCUAUCCAAGUUAACAUCAAGUCCGUAACUGCGCAGAAAACAAAAUUAGUAAAAUAAAUAAAUAAUGUAGAAUUCAUAGAAUUAGGUUCAUCAUCCUCCACAUCUAAAGAAAAAUGAAACAUUCAUGCUAUGGCUCUUAUGAAGUUUUACAGUGGAAAAUAUCUUGGAAAAUAUAGUGAAUACUUUUCCCAGUAAGGUUUUAAACAAAGCUUCAACAUAACAUAAGGUCUGGAAAGGUUGGCCUUGAAAUAACAUUUCUUGACAGACCUAAGGAAAAUUUUGUGCCUCCUGGAAAGGUACUUCCAAAAAGAAUUGACUGCGAAGUGCGGAACUAAUUUCAGUCCAUACACACAUUGCAGAGUUUCAAUUGUAAACCUUUACACUAGUCACAUGGUCAAACCGACCAACUCUUACAGAAAUAAUAGGCAAGAAAACAACACUCAAACAGCACUGCCAGCUCAAAAAAUAAUCAGGUCCAUACAGAACAAAUAUUAGAUCACAUAACCAAUUUGAUAUUCAAACAUAUGCAUAAACUUAUUCGUGCUCAAACAUUAAAAACUUCACUGAUACUGCUCCGAAAGCAUAUUAACUCAAGAAAUCAAUCAUGUUGGGAUCAUCAUUUGAGACUCUAAGAGCUUCAUAAGGGUUCGUACUUCAAUAAUACGGUUCGUACCAUAAUACACCAAUCCCAAAACUACGGAGCACUGGUUAACCAAAUAUCUUCGAAGACCUACUGAAGGGUUCAUGUUGAGACACCCCUACCUAAGCACAUGAGUUUCUCUCCAACCAGGAGCCCAAUCACAAUGCUAAAGCUUCUAAAGUCCCACAUCAACCACAGACGAAAUAGGCAAUUCUCCUCAACUAUAAAAGGAGAUUGUUCUCCCACAAUUGAUCCCUGAUGAUCUUAUUUUGCUUAAUCCACUAUUAGAACUCACUAAGUAAUGAUUCUGUCUAAAUCCUUGUAUCAUGUAAACUCUCUCUACAUUAUUUAUGAGAACUCCUCCAUCCGACGUAGCCCAAUUUAAGGUGAACCAUGUAUGAUUGCUGCCCUUUUAUCCCUUAACUCUGUACAUACUCUCAUCACUAGGUGACCGAAGCAACUUAGCAAGGAUCGCAUAUUGACACUCUACGUUAUUCCAAAGUCAACCCAGUUUUGUGCAUCAACAAAUACAAUAAUGUUUUGUUCUGAAAAAACUAAUUCCAGAAAUAAAUCAAUGGCGGAAGUUCGUUAAAAUUAAAGAAUAAAAAGAAAUGAAAUGAAAAACAAUCUUAUAGAGGAAAGCGAUCGAAGGGGAAUACCUAGGCGGCAAGCGGUUGAAGUGACCGUCCAACUGUUCACGGAAUUCGGGCAGAGUCAGAGCGUCUUCAUGGCCGCUCUCCACCAAGCGGUUGUAGACAUCGUUUCGGACAUCGUAGUUACUGAAGCUGACGAAGCUUCUCGGCGGCGACGAGCUCUCUCCGACGCCCUCGGUCAAAUCCAUAGGGGAAGCUCAAGUCAGCAGGUUUUCCACGAAAAUACAGAAGAGAAGGAGGAGAAAGCGAGCUCGGAGAGUUGUCAAUGAUAAGCAGAGGAUCUUUGACUGUUGGUGGAAUCCGGGAAGAAGACGAGGAUCUGUUGGGGAUUUCGGGCGGAAAGCAGAGGGCAAUUUCGUCAUACAAAAUCACUGUAGCAUCGUGAAGUUUCUCGAGAGCGAAGGCUAGUUUGGAGGAGAGAAUGUCAUGGUUGGAGUGAGUGAGUAGAGAGACAAAAGAAGACCUCCGUCUCAGCAAGAGAAAACUUUUUCCAUUUUUUAAUUUUUUUUUUAUAUAUAUUAUAUAUCAAAUAAUGUGGAUUGGAUAUGGUUGAAAAUGUGGGACAAUAUAAUAAUGUUUUGUAGUUAAGAAAACGCCUCGGUUUUUGAUAGAUUUUUUUUCAAUGUGAUCGUAUAUACGAAACGGUAUGUUAUAUGUUGUUGUUAAAGUAAAAUAAAAUUUUAUUUUAAAUUUAUUCUCUUAACUUAUAUAAUAAUUUAUGAUAUAUGUAACCGCGUUUUGGAUAUAUUGAAAAACCACUCUUAAAUUUUGGGCACAAUUUCAUGUGAGUCACAUCAUGUUGUAUAGGAGAAAAUAUGGCCUGCUGUUUACAAGUAAUCACAUAAAAAAGCUCAUACCAUAAUUAUGACGCAAUUGUAUAUUUAUUCUUUCUCUAAUAAUGGAUUCUCAUUUUGUAGAGAGGGAAAUGUUAAGGAGACUCAUAGUUUUUUAGGAUUGUGUUAUUCACACAUCCUGUUUAUCUUUCACAUAUUCCUCUUAGUUUUUACAAUCGGACCGAAUUAAUUAAAAAAUAUUAAAAAACAGAAAUUAACAAAAAAUGUGUAGAAAGUAAAAAUAAGAUGUGGAUAACACCACCUUUUUCUUAUUGUGAGUAGCAUAUCUAAUCACUAGAAGCAUUAGAUAUAUCCUAUGGAAGUUGAAAGCAAGUGUUCUGUUUAUAAGUGCUUACAAAAUUAUUUUUUAUUUAUUUAAUACGAAAAAGAGAUUACAAAGUAGAAGUGCUUAAGAGAAUAACACACCAAAACGAUCAAAAAGCAUCUGGCACAUAUAAAGGUACCAUUAUUCCACAACUGAGAAACGUGGAACUUUAUGUCCUAGGGCGUCCGCUACAAAGUUGACCACGAAGAAAGGAAUGAGAGUCCGAAUGUCUUUGAGUAAAGUAACGAGCGUCCAUGGAAGUUGAAUAUAGUGUAGACAACAAUCAUGACAUCCCCUUCAACUUUGACAUCUCUCCACCUAUGAGUGAAGGAUAGAGACACACUUUGAUCCAGAUAUCCAGGUAGACACUAAAAUUGAGGCAUGUUGACUAACAUUUAGAAGAUCACGAAGUCAUAACAUGUAAAUAAUGUGUAGAUUGUAUAAAUAAAUUAAAGAUUAUAAAUGCAUGUAAUGAAAAGAAGAGUAUCUAAUUAUACACAGCCAAUAUUCAAAACAUAUAGGUAUGUACACGCAAUUUAAAAUUAAAAAAAAAAAAGAUUCUGGAUUGUACUUAAAAGUAACAUUCGCCUUAAAACAUUCAUAAAUUCAUGAAAAUAUGACUUGAGCUUCUCCUAUGGACAUGGAAGAUAUGUUUGGUGAUGCAUUAGAGUAUGAUCCGCAUACAUCUUUGCAUAUAAAUUGGCCAAGAUAGGAAGUCUUUGACGGAUUAUGCCGUUUACCGCAGUAGACUUCGAGUUUUAGAAGACCAUCACACUCUUUGUAAUGGUAUGGUCAAUCAGAUGGUCGAGUAAAGAGUCACUUAAUUAAUAUUGCUUGUUCUUAUGUUCCUUUAUUUUUAUUUUUAUUUUUGAAGUCGGGUAUGAUUUAAUUUACGUAAUUGUUUAAUUUUAUUUAUGUAAUUGUGUGUUUUUAUGUAAUAGUGUGCUUUUAUUUAUAUUCUCAGUAUAACAACAAGUAUAAGCACGAAGAUAAUUAUCAUUAAGAAUAUUGACAUUAAAUUACAUAAAAGCAUUGAGUAAAUAGCAAUCAUAAAAAUAUUAACAUUACAUGAGCAUAAAAGAAUUGAGUAAAUAUAAUCAUAAACGUCACUGUACGUGGCAACAUGCUGCUAGUUGAUGAUUCAGUGGUUAAGGACGGAUUACAAGGCUUUCUUCAAACUAAAAAUUGGAGGUAUCGGGUCCGAACCUUGCUACUGGUGUGGACGCUAGACUUGUGACCAGGAGGAGGCUAAAAUGUCUCUGUAAGUCUUCCCGGCCCUUGAAAGAGAUGGAUAACCGUAGCUUACCAAUUGUUAUCCGCUCUAUAACCAACGGGGAGCUCUCCGUAGCUCGUUUGACUUCAGCAGUGAAUGAAUCAAAUAUCCACGUCGAUCUGCUUGAGGUAGCUAGAUCACCCUAAUCUAUGGAAGUUUAUUAUUUCCAAAUCUAUCUACGAUUAACCCCCAAUAUUUUCAAACAUAAUAAUACUUAACGAAGUGGAAUAAAAAUAAAUAAAAUAAACUUUGAAUUUUGCUACAGAUACUCGAGGUGUACAUAUACAAUAUGUGGACAUAUAUAUACCUUGACGAGAAGCUUGAGGCAAAUAUCAUCAGACUGGGCUGCAGAGCCCUUGGUCGUUUUGUUCUUAUUUCUGGCAAAAAGAUCAACCUCCUAUACAUCAGUACAUACAAUAUUAUUAAGUAAUAUACAUGCAAUACAAAAACGAGAUAGAGAGGGCGCUUGGAGCGCAAUUGCUUGGUUGCUGCUAAUGCCGAUGAAGCAAAGGUUUUUAGAAGCUUUAUAGAAUAAUGGAUAUAAUGGAACUUGAUGACAUAUGUGAGAAUAUGAUGAACGUUAUAUUUUUGAAGCUCUUUUUAUUAUGCCGACAAAUAUAUUAAUUUAUAUUUCUGAAAUGGUUUAUAGUGUGAAUAUUGUAGAGUAAAAUUUUGGUGCAUCUGAAAAACCAUCACGUGUUAUUAUUUCAUUCAAAACUAUAACACAUGUAUUUUCUUUUUUUAUUUAAUAUUCCUAAAAGACUAACAUUUCAACUAUGUACCAAAGCUACGGAAGUUUGUAGUUUCGAAUAUAUUGGUAGCUAAAUCACCCAACUCUACAACUUCAUUGCUUCGACUUUCUUUUGGCUAACAAAACGCCAAGCCAAACGACUUUGGAUAAAUCUUUAUCCACCUGCUAACCAAUCAUUUAUGCCCAGCUCUACCAUAAGAAGGAGAGGUUGUUCCGAAAGAGAUUUGCAAAAGGUUUUGUUCCAAUAAGGAUACUACUGUUCAACUCUCCACGAAGUUACACACAAAAAAUAAUAAUAAUAAUAAUAAUAAUAUGCACUUGUGAGAAGUGCCAACACUGUGCCACGAUCCCACACAUUCAUGUUAAACCUCUUAGAAGAGCAUAGGACCAGGUUGACGUAAGGAACGUCGCUAAUCAAGACGUCUCAAAUUACUACGGUUCUAGAGUCAACGUCUGCUCUUUAAAACUAUGAGACUAGGUGUUGAAGAAGAAAAUAUCAAAUAAACAAGACUCAAUUGUGAGUACACUUGACAUGAAUUGGGACAGACCAUACGAGAUCAUUGACAUAUAUCGCCCAGGCACAUACAUACUUAAAGAUGGCAGAACACAUGAUCAUCCAUGUAAUGUUGAUCAUCUAAAGUAUUACUACAAGUAGACAGUUCAACAUACUUAGUGAAGAGUCAAUUCAGACAAACUUUGUCUCAACCUGACACCUUAAACAAUCGUACUUAGCCAAACUUUAAAACAAACCAACAUUAUAACUUAAAAGCUCAUCCAUACAUACCUCAAUGAAGUUUAAAACCACCUUCAAAAAGGAACAUGAUUCAUAAGAGCAUCAACAUAAACUUUAAACAUGAUAAAAAUUCCACGAAGACAAAUCCACAAGGUAUCCAAGUCAAUGAUCAAUCAUAUUUAAAGCCAACAUUAGUACAUAAUUUUUUUAUUUUUAAAGUCAACAAGAGAAUACAACCUAAGUUUAGGACGCAACAAUCAACAUUCUCAUAAUAAAACUAAGAGACCACAAAUUCAUUCUCAAAGCAAAGUCAAGAUGCAAUAAUCAUCUUACAAAACCAUUUUGUUUUUUUUUUUCAAUAUAUUGAAUGAUGAGGUGUAACAACCCGUCCCAAAUUUUACAAUUUUAUAAAUUUUAAAAGUGUGAAUUGAUGAAAAUGCCCUAGAGGCAAGGAUUUUGACUUCCGUUGACCAUCAAUUUGAGAGAUGUAUGACUUAUUCUUUUAGCGUAAUUGUGUAGUACUCGUUAGUACGAACGCAUAGGUGAAGACCGUUUGCGAGUCUGAAUUAUAAUGGUAUAGAUAGGGACAUUUGAAAUUGUGUUACUAAACUAUAGAUUUAAAUUUAAUUAAGCUUCCCUCAAAUGUAUGUUAAUUAUGGGACCAAUUAGAUAAAUAUUUGAGGGACCAAUCAGCAUGGGUAACGAAAAGGGGAUCAGCCAAUCAGAAAAAAAAAAAAAAAAAAAAAAAAAGAGGGAGGGGGGUGGACUCCCAACUUUCCCGUGCACCCUUGAACCAUCCCGAUUUCAAAUCGGCGAACUUUCGCCAGUUUUUUGUUGAUCACCACCAUCCAUCACCUGCAACAUCUUUCACAUCUUCCCCUCUACUAUUUCCACUCAAAUUUGGGAUUUUUUUUAAGGUCAAAACCUUGUAAAACUGUGAGGGGUGGCCGAAAGUGUUCCACGGCGAUUCUGCCGUUCCGGCGAGUUUCACCACUCAUCACCACCUCUAAUCUACUCCCCUUGGACCCAGGAACAAAGCCCAAACAACCUUGGAGGCGUCGGAGCACCGGUGACGACGAAUUAAAGCACACCCAUUCUAGGGUUCUGGUGGGUUCGUGGAAAAUUGAGGCUCUUCCAGGUCAAAUUGGCCUUGGUCAUAGG